GAUACUCCAUAUGGAGUGCGACUUUCGUCACACUUCCAUAUAAACUUCAAGGUUGAAGGAUACAAGACUACGUUAAAUAAGGCUUGAGCACAUUCUAGUCGCAUGGCAGUUUUUGGGUACCUUUAAAGAUUCAACCAGAUGAAGUACUCGAAGAGCACAUAAACUAGUCGGUGAAGCCUACAAAAGUACUCGGAAUUGCUGCAUUUGACCAAAAAGUAGUCGGGGGCUUGUCGUACAUACAUCUAUGGGCCCACCAAAAGGUUUGGAU
RNAcentral lists this long non-coding RNA (268 nucleotides) under Setaria viridis. Its description in RNAcentral is "long non-coding RNA (SVIR_LNC010435)". The record is from RNAcentral. Lineage: Eukaryota; Viridiplantae; Streptophyta; Magnoliopsida; Poales; Poaceae.